Pelobates cultripes (western spadefoot toad) is the source of this 537-nucleotide non-coding RNA. Lineage: Eukaryota; Metazoa; Chordata; Amphibia; Anura; Pelobatidae. The record is from the annotation of a GenBank genome assembly.
CAGGCUCUUCCACUCCCUCUUUCUUUGCUGCUGCCUCCAAGUGAGCACUCACCAACUCAGAGUUGUCUCUGCACUUGGUUGUUUUUUUAUCCUACAUGCUGCUUGUUUAUUUAAACAGUCUAUUUAAUCAGUCUAUUUGCUAGGUUUGUUUAGGCAGCUUAAUUGCUGGAUUUAUUUAGGCAGGGUUCUUGCUGGGUUUAUCUAGGCAGUCGAUUGCUGGGUUUAUCUAGGCAGUCGAUUGCUGGGUUUAUCUAGGCAGUCUAUUGCUGGGUUUAGCUAGGCAGUCUAUUCUGUGUUAUUUCCUAUACCACUUCAUGCUAUCUAGCUGCUGUAUCACUUGUUAACAUCUGUUGCUGUAUUUAGGCUAUUUAUCUGAUAGAUUUUGUAUACUGCUCAUUGAUUUAUUGUUAUUCUGGGUUACUUUAUGUAGUUUUUCUCACUCUGCUGUAUGGGGAAUGGGUGUCCCUGCUAUGAUGCUUUGGCUCUGCCUGUAAUCUGUUUCCCCUCCCUGGGUUCCCCUGCUGGGCUCUGUCGCCC